UUAUUAUGAGAGUUUGAUCCUGGCUCAGGACGAACGCUGGCGGCGUGCCUAAUACAUGCAAGUCGAACGCUUCUUUCCUCCCGAGUGCUUGCACUCAAUUGGAAAGAGGAGUGGCGGACGGGUGAGUAACACGUGGGUAACCUACCCAUCAGAGGGGGAUAACACUUGGAAACAGGUGCUAAUACCGCAUAACAGUUUAUGCCGCAUGGCAUAAGAGUGAAAGGCGCUUUCGGGUGUCGCUGAUGGAUGG
This 250-nucleotide ribosomal RNA is filed under the name Enterococcus faecalis. Its description in RNAcentral is "partial 16S ribosomal RNA". It matches the Rfam family "Bacterial small subunit ribosomal RNA", at positions 1 to 228 of the family's 1533-position model. RNAcentral also lists the same sequence under 1 other name. Lineage: Bacteria; Bacillati; Bacillota; Bacilli; Lactobacillales; Enterococcaceae. The record is from RNAcentral.